GGGCUUUUUACCAAAAUUUUUCUAUAUUAAAAGAUUACGCAUAACUAAGUGCAUACAAGAAUUCCUACUCAUAGAGGCUUCAUACAGUUUAUCAUGAAAGGUUAAUUCUGAAGGUAUACAUUGCUCUUUUGACAAUUACUCGAUUCACCACUUGAUAUCAUAUGCAUUAUGCAAUUUUGAUAUCAAAUUUGCUGUAGAAGAACAAUAUCAUCAGAGAUUCAGAAUCAUAACAAAAUAUACUGCCAAGCCCUUUAUUGUUUUUCCCUCUUUCAAAAAGAGCCUAAUCGGAAAUAAUUCUCCUUCAUAAAUUUUGAUUCAAUGAAAAAAGAAAUCACUCACCACAUACACCUGCCGCCGACUC
RNAcentral lists this unclassified non-coding RNA (361 nucleotides) under Hevea brasiliensis (rubber tree). Lineage: Eukaryota; Viridiplantae; Streptophyta; Magnoliopsida; Malpighiales; Euphorbiaceae. The record is from RNAcentral.